UCAAACCUGUAUCCUCAUGGAUGCUAGUCAGGUUCCUGACUGCUGAGCCACAGUGGGAGCUCCCACGUGUUCUUUUUCUUUCUCUUUUGCUGAAUGAUUUCUGGAAGCAAUGAUAGUAUUUUGGUUUGUACAAUCAAAACUUAAUAGAUAUUUUCUUACAUUUAAAAAGUUAACAGCCAUUCAUUUGAAUUAUCUCGUGUCCAGUUCACAUUCAGAUCUGCUGUGAGUGUUGGGAAAAGCACAAAGUGCCUGCCUUUCUUGCUCUCCCAGGUUUAGAGGCGUUAAUGUCUUUGGGGUUAAGCGAUCUCCUUCUUCGGCUUCCCUUGGACUGAGCUUGCACGUGGGAAUUAGGACAAAAUCUACACAGGACCCAACAAGAGAGGCUGUCAUCACCCCUGGAGCAGCGCGUCCCUGUUGCCCGCAUCCUCUCCAGCAUUUGGCGGCGUCUGUGCUCUGGACUGCAGCCCUUCUAGAAGAUCAUCAUCUGAGGAGAGUGAGCAGGAGAAAUUCAGGCUCAGUCAAGAAAUAAAUAAACAACACAAAGAAUGACAAGAGUAGACACAACUUUAACGAAGAGAAAUUUAAAGUAAAUACCACACACUGAUACUGAUUUACACGGUACCAAAAAUUGGAAAACAGAGACUAAACAGACUAUUAUCCAGAAAAACACCUUAACCAAAAUUGUCUCAGGAAAAUCUGUUUUAUGGAGCAAACCGUAAUUUGAAAAGAUACAUGUA
Sus scrofa (pig) is the source of this 737-nucleotide non-coding RNA. The record is from RefSeq and is a predicted model, not a curated record. Lineage: Eukaryota; Metazoa; Chordata; Mammalia; Artiodactyla; Suidae.